RNAcentral lists this long non-coding RNA (978 nucleotides) under Cyanistes caeruleus (blue tit). RNAcentral describes it as "lncRNA (ENSCCEG00000011173.1)". The record is from RNAcentral. Lineage: Eukaryota; Metazoa; Chordata; Aves; Passeriformes; Paridae.
GGGAAUUAAGAAAUAUUCUGGAAAUUCCCACUAAUUUGAAUUUGACCCCUUUUUGGAAGGAUAUCCUGUGUCCUCCGCUGGGAUGAGGGCUUGUCCCCUCUGGGACUUGAGGCUUCCCAAAGGUUUUGUUUGGAAUAACUAUUGCUGAUCCUCCUGCCCGGCUGCUCUUCACACUCCACCCGCUCUGAUCGCACCAAUUACUCCAACAAAAGACAAAAAUUUGCAUUUCCAAGGGAGUUUCCCUCCUCCGCUGUGCCCUCAGCAGGGAUGUCCUUCACCCCAUCGGGGUCAAUGAGCCAUGAGUGGGACUCAUGUGACAGUCCCGACACACUUCCCAGGGGAAUUUCUUUCCUAAUGACAUUUAAACCGCUCAUUACUCCUUGACUGUGCCAGAGGUUUGGCUGAGUGCGGCUGCGGCUCCGUUAUUGCUCAGGAUCCCUGGAGCAGGGGCUGGGAAUCUGGACGUGGGGAAAGGGUGAACCUCUCUUAGCUCCCCUCCGAGAUACUCAGCUGCAAACCCCAAAGGCUUGGGCAUCCGAGGAAAGUCUAUUUCACUUUUUCUUUUCUUUUCUUUUUUUUUUUUAUUUUUUUUUUGGCCAUUUUCAGCUCAUCUGUUGGGAUUUUUUUGCCUUCCUGAAAGCAGGAAUGAGACGAGGUCUCCAAAGAGUCUCUGCUCCACAUUUCCACCCAAUUUUCUUGGCCUGAGGGGUUGCACGAGUUCGGAGAAGCCUUCAAGCCUCUGAGCGUUCUCCCCAGAGCUGCGCUGGUGACAGAAAGGAUCUCCAGAACUGCUCCACUCCGUCCCCCCGCAAUUCCCAACUUCCUGAGUUUCUCCCAGCUCCGCUCCAGCCCCGCUCCGACCCUGAGGAGAAGCAGCUUUGCAGAAUUCCUGAGGAAAAGGCGCUCCAGCCCCGGCUGCUGCCGGGAAAAGCCAUCGGAGCUGCCCUCAGCCUGCACCGGGAGAGCAGCAGCCCAGGG